Molecule: ribosomal RNA, 467 nt
Filed under: uncultured bacterium
Lineage: Bacteria
Description: bacterial SSU rRNA
Rfam family: Bacterial small subunit ribosomal RNA
Source: RNAcentral
GACGAACGCUUGCGGCGUGCCUAAGAAAUGCAAGUCGAGCGAGAACCAACCUUCGGGUGAAGUUCUAGCGGCGAACGGUCGCGUAACACGUAAGCAACCUGCCCUAAAGUUGGGGAUAGCCCUCCGAAAGGAGGAUUAAUACCGAAUGUGGACAUAUUUUCGCAUGUUUAUAUGUCUAAAGCAGCGAUGCGCUUUAGGAUGGGCUUGCGGCCUAUCAGCUAGUUGGUGUGGGUAACGGCCUACCAAGGCGACGACGGGUAGCUGGUCUGAGAGGAUGGUCAGCCGGAUUGGGACUGAGACACGGCCCAGACUCCUACGGGGGGCAGCAAUUAGGAAUCUUGCGCAAUGGGCGAAAGCCUGACGCAGCGACGCCGCGUGACUGAUGAAGUCUUUCGGGAUGUAAAGGUCUUUUGCAGGGGACGAAGGAAGUGACGGUACCCUGCGAAUAAGCCCCGGCUAACUACGUG